CAAUUCGAAAUGACAACAAAUAUGGAAGUCGCACAGAGAUACAAAGCAAACACCUACAUACACCAACCAACACACACUCGUUUAUAGCCAGGGAAAUCUGCCAGGGGGCGGGGCUGAGUAGGAGAUUGGAAAAACUUGGGUCGAACGAGAAGCGAAAACUGCUGACAGUUGCAUAAACAAUAAAGGCAGACCCCCAAAAAGCGAACUCAGCCAGCGAAACGAUCCAACGAAUGCGGUCAACAUCAAAAGGAGGAUAAAAAAAAUGAAAAUAAAGGAGAGGAGAGGAAAAGAAAGAGGUGGAUAAGCGGAAGAAGGGACCAUCGAAAGGAAAGCAAAACGAAACUAGAACUAUUACUGCCACUGCAACACACAUGCAACGUGUGGCAAGUCUGGGACUGGCUCCAAAACACCCAAACCACCCAAGCCACCCAAUGCCCACCCUCAUCUCCAUGACGGCUAGAACAACAAUGUGACAUUUUUUCCACUUUGACGACAAUUUCCCUCGCGGCACUAACGGCAGCAGCAAGAGCAAAGCAACAGUAGCUAGUUGUAGGUAGUGCCACGCCAUUGCCAUAGCCACUGCCGAAUCUAAAGCUAGACGGCAAUGAAACUUAAGGAUACAACGGGAGUGCCGAGUCCAGAAAACAAAAAGAGAAUUCCUGAUCGAUGGGUCGCAGUUUUGGAUGCCCUUUAGGCGUUGAGGAUGAGAUACCCUCCAAAGAUCAGAACUGAUAAAAAAAGGAUUUAAUUUGAUUUAUAGGACAAAUGAAACCGAAAAUAACAUUUUUCAACUAAG
Molecule: non-coding RNA, 796 nt
Organism: Drosophila melanogaster (fruit fly)
Lineage: Eukaryota; Metazoa; Arthropoda; Insecta; Diptera; Drosophilidae
Source: Ensembl